RNAcentral lists this ribosomal RNA (254 nucleotides) under uncultured bacterium. RNAcentral's name for it is "partial small subunit ribosomal RNA". It matches the Rfam family "Bacterial small subunit ribosomal RNA", at positions 26 to 285 of the family's 1533-position model. The record is from RNAcentral.
AGGACGAACGCUGGCGGCGUGCUUAACACAUGCAAGUCGAGCGGAAAGGCCCUUCGGGGUACUCGAGCGGCGAACGGGUGAGUAACACGUGAGCAACCUGCCCUUAGCUUCGGGAUAGCUCCGGGAAACCGGAAUUAAUACCGGAUAUGACAACGGCUGGCAUCAGCCAUUGUGGAAAGUUUUUCGGCUAGGGAUGGACUCGCGGCCUAUCAGCUAGUUGGUGAGGUAACGGCUCACCAAGGCGACGACGGGUA